GAGGAGAGAGAGAGAGAGAGCUCGACUGCAAGAUGAGAAAAUGCAAAGGAAGGGUCUGAGAAGAAAACUAUUAGACACCGCAGUUACUCGAGACAAGAAAAGGAACACCGGCAGCGAAGCAACGCUUCUUUGGCAUUGUUGACAGACCUUUGCAAGGACUAGCUGGGGUGCCAGAAGUGUCCCUUGAACAUAAGCAUCAAGAACAUCGCUUAUCAUUACAUCAGCACAUCCUUCGACAUGAAAAAAACAAAUCAGCCUUGAAAUCCUCUCUGAAGACUGCGAUCUUUUUUCCCCUGGUGAGACAGCACUGUGAAUAUCUGAAAAUGUGAAGCAGCCACUGUAAGUCAUGCACAGCAUCAUGGCAGAAGGCAAGGGAAUGCCAGCCUGAGUGGCCAGUCAGGUGCCAUUUUGUGUACAGAGAGCCCUUUGCUCUGCAGCCAUCUUGAGGGGGAAAUCCUGCAGCGUCUAAAAUGGAUGGAACGCCACUCAGUGUGGGCAUAAGGUUGGCCGAACAGCUGCAGUUACCAAAGGCGAAGUGGCCCAUAACGCCAGAAGAAUGUGCAGUGAGAGAAUACAACAAGCAAAAGUGCAAGAAUGUUAACGGCCUUGGAGAAAGAUAGGCUGCUGUUUGGAUUUUGGACUGCCAGUCCUUACAGAGUCCUACCAUUGACAUUUAUUUAUAUCGGACAUUUGCCUGCUAGAAUGAACACUUUGUGUUUUAGAGGAGCCUUGGAUUUUAGCCCGUGUGUAUUUUAUUGUAACUGAAUCAACAAUUCGUCUUUCCUCCGGUACUUAGAUCUAUAUUAUUUAUUUUCUUAUGUAGCAUCAAGACAGCAUUGAGGUCCAUUUCAUAAGGCUCAAAAUCAAAUAUGUGUGUGUGUGCGCUAGGGCUGAUGUAGAAACGAUUCGGCUAGUAAAUACAUCACAACUCGAUAGCAAGCCCAGUAAAGGAGGCGUCAUCACGACAAGAACUGAAAGCAAGAAACAAAUAUCCCUAAUAAACUCGGUGAGGUCAAGUUAUGCGAAAAGGAGGAGGCGGUCUUAUUUUGUUUUCGAGCCCACGUAUGAUAAAAGGUGGGAGGAUUGCAGAAUAGCCGUAGCUAAAAUUCAGAGAUGAAUUUGAACAGAGGAAUAUUUAAAUUUUAACAAAUUUGAAUACAUCUUAGUAUUUGCUUACAGAGGGAAGAUGAAAGUUGCCCUGCUGUAAACCUAUAAAUGGACAUGUUAGAAAUUGUGUUUUGCAGGAUAGUAUAUACCUCUGCACGCUUUCGAUAUUUUGCAGGUUCUGACCUUUGCUGGAGAGAGUUACACUGUGUACUGCUAGUACAUUGCCCAAUCACACUCCAGCGUAAAGUAGCUCUAGAGGUGCACCGGAUAGGAACCGUGUUUAUUUCCCCUCCCAUUUCACCACUUUCAUCCAGUUCAGUCUGGAAAAUCUGCUAUGAACCAAUGCAAUCUAGGAGGGUUUUACAUUUAUUAUGCCAUUUAUUAUUAUUUCUUGACAUGUUUAUAGCUUGGUAAAGUUUGAUUAAACAGACGAAAAUGGAUGUACCACAACAAUAAGCAUGUUAAAUCAGUACCAGUGCAACUUGUGAGUGUAAUUCACUUUUAUGCAGCACAAAAUAAUUGUAGUGCAGUGAUAAUGUCCCACUUUUGGGCCCGAAGGCCCAAAUAGGUUCUAGAGCUGAGUCAUACCAUUUCUGAACAAAUUGCUUAAAAACAGCUACAACAUCACUUUCUAAUUAGUAAAUGUAAUUGGAAACUUUUAAAUAAAUGCUUUUUUGAAAACACAUCUAUUAGUGGCCUUACGCUUACAUCAACUAGUCCAAUUUAGCAAGCAUUUCAAAGGAACUUCCAGUGAAUUAAUUAGUGAGAAUUUCCACUGAUUACAUGCCCAGCUGUAAGGAACUUUUUUUUAAAGUAUGGAAGUUUUAGAGAAACUCAACUGAAUUGGCAGUCCCUCCGGAGAAAAAAAAUUGAGUUAAUAUUUCGAGCCUAACGUUACCGUUCCGGAACUGCUUCAAUUGUAAUAAGCAAAAUCCCAGUGAUUAAUUAAUGUCGGGGACAUAGCUAGAUAUAUUGGUGGGGGUCAAAUUCAAGCACGACCUUUUUAAAGAUAGCACAGAAUUUGGUAAAAAUUCUUGUGCAGUACCUUCCACAGUUUCUUGCGCCAGUUUUGAUGAUAUUGGGAGAAUUAUGCUCACGGAAGUGCAACGGCGUAACAACAUCAAGUCCAAGACCGAUUGUGUGGGGCAUGACAGAAUGGACAAAAUGUAGUUGCUUGCUGCGGGCUAAAAGCCAAGGGGGAGGCAAUGGCCUCGUGGUAUUAUCACCAGACUAUUAAUCCAGAGACUCAACUAAUAUUCUGGAGACCUGGGUUCAUUAUCCGUUAUGGUAGAUGGUGGAAUUUGAAUUCAACAAAGAAUCUCAAAUUGAGGGUCUAAUAAUUACUGUGAAACCAUUACCUGGUUUGGCCUAAAUGUGACUCCAGACCUACAGCAAUGUGGUUGACUCUUAACUGCCCUCUGGGUUAUUCGGGGUGGGCAAUAACUGCUGGCCUUGUCAGAGACUCCCAUAUCCAGUGAAUCAAUACACAAAACAAAAACAGGAAAUAGGACUUCACCCCCACUUCCAAGCUUGGGGUCCAGAUCGCUUCUCACAUAUAACUCGAAGAUAGAAUGAGGUGGAAGAGAGAUUUUUAAAAUGGCAAGGGAAAGAUUUGCAUUAUUGCAGAGCUUUUCAGGAACACUGGAAGUCCAAAACGCUUUUAUUUGUACAUUAUUAAAUAAAUAUUUCCAUCGUGUACGAAAAGUAAUUUAUUUAGGGCCGCUAUUGUUUCCGGGCUGAACUUAGCUCUCUCAACAGUGUGAAUGAAUGACUAAAACGUGGGAACAGUCAGCAUCCGUCUGGCUAAAAGUUUAAUACACUUGAAGCAAGACUCAAAUGUUAAGAGUAUUUUUCUAAUGGAAGAAAAUUUAAAUUGAUACAUUUUCUGCUCCCAUUGUCAGCGAAAAUAAUAUUUCUUAGUUAAAUCCAAUGACUAUUAUAAAUCAUAAACCGAAACAUGAACAUAGAAAAUAUUAAAGCAAUAAGUAUGCGGACUAUUGUUUUAUGUUUUGGACAUAAAUUUUAAAUGAGAACAUUAUGAAACGAGCAUAGGCCUCCAAUAUGAGGAUUGAAACGGAUAGCAUGUUUGUAACCCACCUAUCUAUUCAUUAACAGAUUAUUUAUGUUUAAUACUUUUGCAAGUUGUAUUGCUCCUUAGUCUACACUUUACACUCUGGUGGAAUGUUUACUUUUUGCACGUUUGUCUAAUCUACCUUUUUAAUGGGGUAAUUAACAAUAAUGUGAAUUACAAAUUUCUAGAAAAUGUUAUGUUGAAAUUCUAUGAAGGUUUUCCUGGGACCUUUUCAUUAGUAGUAUCUUUUUUGUGACUGUGUUUACCCGAAAUGCAUAUUGCACAAUAAAAGGAAGAAGGGUUGCCUGGGAAAGUAAGCAGGUAGUAUUUUAAUUAGGAAGAAUUUGAAAUUUCAUGCAGUUCAGGGGCUGGGGAUCUAUACUGAAAAUGUAUUCUGGUCUGAUGGUGUUAAAUCCAGAUGCUUGGAUUAAACCGUAAAUCGGAGGACAAGUUGAUGUACCAAUCUAUGGAGCAAGGCUUCUGAGAAUUUCAAAGAAUAUGAACAUACGAUUCCGUAUUCUUCUGAAACGAAUAUCUCCACAUGUUAAAGGAUGCAAUUAUUUUGAGUAAAAUUUAAUUCCUUUUCCCAUGUUCUUCAAUAAUUUUCAAAUAAAUUCUACAUUUUGAUUAAUUUACUGGUUUCCUCUCGCUUUUUUCGGUGGCGGGUGGGGGAUUAUUUGUUGUAUGCUUAUUACAGGAAUAAAUCCUCGUGUUAGAAAUCGGCAUGUAGUGGAAGCGGGAACGUGAAGUUAAGCUCCCAUCAACCCAAUGGCUAUGCAGAAACGUGUU
Molecule: long non-coding RNA, 3967 nt
Organism: Chiloscyllium plagiosum (whitespotted bambooshark)
Lineage: Eukaryota; Metazoa; Chordata; Chondrichthyes; Orectolobiformes; Hemiscylliidae
Source: RefSeq, a predicted model, not a curated record